This 265-nucleotide ribosomal RNA is filed under the name uncultured bacterium. Its description in RNAcentral is "partial 16S ribosomal RNA". It matches the Rfam family "Bacterial small subunit ribosomal RNA", at positions 28 to 297 of the family's 1533-position model. The record is from RNAcentral.
GACGAACGCUGGCGGCGCGCCUUACGCAUGCAAGUCGAACGGAGUACUCCUUCGGGGGUGCUCAGUGGCGAGACGGGUGAGUAACACGUAGGUAACCUGCCCAAGAGUGGGAAGUAACUCUCCGAAAGGAGAGCUAAUACCGCAUGAAGUCGCUCCGGACAACGGAGUGACCAAAGCAGCAAUGCGCUUUUGGAGGGGCCUGCGGCCCAUCAGCUAGUUGGCGGGGAACGGCCCACCAAGGCAACGACGGGUAGCUGGUCUGAGA